GGGACACGUGGUAUCCUGUCUGAAUAUGGGGGGACCAUCCUCCAAGGCUAAAUACUCCUGACUGACCGAUAGUGAACCAGUACCGUGAGGGAAAGGCGAAAAGAACCCCGGCGAGGGGAGUGAAAAAGAACCUGAAACCGUGUACGUACAAGCAGUGGGAGCACGCUUAGGCGUGUGACUGCGUACCUUUUGUAUAAUGGGUCAGCGACUUAUAUUCUGUAGCAAGGUUAACCGAAUAGGGGAGCCGAAGGGAAACCGAGUCUUAACUGGGCGUUAAGUUGCAGGGUAUAGACCCGAAACCCGGUGAUCUAGCCAUGGGCAGGUUGAAGGUUGGGUAACACUAACUGGAGGACCGAACCGACUAAUGUUGAAAAAUUAGCGGAUGACUUGUGGCUGGGGGUGAAAGGCCAAUCAAACCGGGAGAUAGCUGGUUCUCCCCGAAAGCUAUUUAGGUAGCGCCUCGUGAAUUCAUCUCCGGGGGUAGAGCACUGUUUCGGCAAGGGGGUCAUCCCGACUUACCAACCCGAUGCAAACUGCGAAUACCGGAGAAUGUUAUCACGGGAGACACACGGCGGGUGCUAACGUCCGUCGUGAAGAGGGAAACAACCCAGACCGCCAGCUAAGGUCCCAAAGUCAUGGUUAAGUGGGAAACGAUGUGGGAAGGCCCAGACAGCCAGGAUGUUGGCUUAGAAGCAGCCAUCAUUUAAAGAAAGCGUAAUAGCUCACUGGUCGAGUCGGCCUGCGCGGAAGAUGUAACGGGGCUAAACCAUGCACCGAAGCUGCGGCAGCGACACUAUGUGUUGUUGGGUAGGGGAGCGUUCUGUAAGCCUGUGAAGGUGUGCUGUGAGGCAUGCUGGAGGUAUCAGAAGUGCGAAUGCUGACAUAAGUAACGAUAAAGCGGGUGAAAAGCCCGCUCGCCGGAAGACCAAGGGUUCCUGUCCAACGUUAAUCGGGGCAGGGUGAGUCGACCCCUAAGGCGAGGCCGAAAGGCGUAGUCGAUGGGAAACAGGUUAAUAUUCCUGUACUUGGUGUUACUGCGAAGGGGGGACGGAGAAGGCUAUGUUGGCCGGGCGACGGUUGUCCCGGUUUAAGCGUGUAGGCUGGUUUUCCAGGCAAAUCCGGAAAAUCAAGGCUGAGGCGUGAUGACGAGGCACUACGGUGCUGAAGCAACAAAUGCCCUGCUUCCAGGAAAAGCCUCUAAGCAUCAGGUAACAUCAAAUCGUACCCCAAACCGACACAGGUGGUCAGGUAGAGAAUACCAAGGCGCUUGAGAGAACUCGGGUGAAGGAACUAGGCAAAAUGGUGCCGUAACUUCGGGAGAAGGCACGCUGAUAUGUAGGUGAAGUCCCUCGCGGAUGGAGCUGAAAUCAGUCGAAGAUACCAGCUGGCUGCAACUGUUUAUUAAAAACACAGCACUGUGCAAACACGAAAGUGGACGUAUACGGUGUGACGCCUGCCCGGUGCCGGAAGGUUAAUUGAUGGGGUUAGCGCAAGCGAAGCUCUUGAUCGAAGCCCCGGUAAACGGCGGCCGUAACUAUAACGGUCCUAAGGUAGCGAAAUUCCUUGUCGGGUAAGUUCCGACCUGCACGAAUGGCGUAAUGAUGGCCAGGCUGUCUCCACCCGAGACUCAGUGAAAUUGAACUCGCUGUGAAGAUGCAGUGUACCCGCGGCAAGACGGAAAGACCCCGUGAACCUUUACUAUAGCUUGACACUGAACAUUGAGCCUUGAUGUGUAGGAUAGGUGGGAGGCUUUGAAGUGUGGACGCCAGUCUGCAUGGAGCCGACCUUGAAAUACCACCCUUUAAUGUUUGAUGUUCUAACGUUGACCCGUAAUCCGGGUUGCGGACAGUGUCUGGUGGGUAGUUUGACUGGGGCGGUCUCCUCCUAAAGAGUAACGGAGGAGCACGAAGGUUGGCUAAUCCUGGUCGGACAUCAGGAGGUUAGUGCAAUGGCAUAAGCCAGCUUGACUGCGAGCGUGACGGCGCGAGCAGGUGCGAAAGCAGGUCAUAGUGAUCCGGUGGUUCUGAAUGGAAGGGCCAUCGCUCAACGGAUAAAAGGUACUCCGGGGAUAACAGGCUGAUACCGCCCAAGAGUUCAUAUCGACGGCGGUGUUUGGCACCUCGAUGUCGGCUCAUCACAUCCUGGGGCUGAAGUAGGUCCCAAGGGUAUGGCUGUUCGCCAUUUAAAGUGGUACGCGAGCUGGGUUUAGAACGUCGUGAGACAGUUCGGUCCCUAUCUGCCGUGGGCGCUGGAGAACUGAGGGGGGCUGCUCCUAGUACGAGAGGACCGGAGUGGACGCAUCACUGGUGUUCGGGUUGUCAUGCCAAUGGCACUGCCCGGUAGCUAAAUGCGGAAGAGAUAAGUGCUGAAAGCAUCUAAGCACGAAACUUGCC
This 2393-nucleotide ribosomal RNA is filed under the name Escherichia coli. Its description in RNAcentral is "partial 23S ribosomal RNA". It matches the Rfam family "Bacterial large subunit ribosomal RNA", at positions 419 to 2798 of the family's 2925-position model. Lineage: Bacteria; Pseudomonadati; Pseudomonadota; Gammaproteobacteria; Enterobacterales; Enterobacteriaceae. The record is from RNAcentral.